This 376-nucleotide ribosomal RNA is filed under the name uncultured bacterium. RNAcentral's name for it is "bacterial SSU rRNA". It matches the Rfam family "Bacterial small subunit ribosomal RNA", at positions 524 to 898 of the family's 1533-position model. The record is from RNAcentral.
UACAGAGGUCUCGAGCGUUGUUCGGAUUUACUGGGCGUAAAGGGAGCGUAGGCGGUUCGGUAUGUCGAAUGUGAAAGCCCACAACUCAACUGUGGAAAUGCAUUCGAAACUGCCGGGCUAGAGUACUGGAGAGGAGAGCGGAAUUCUUGGUGUAGCGGUGAAAUGCGUAGAUAUCAAGAGGAACACCGGUGGCGAAGGCGGCUCUCUGGACAGAUACUGACGCUGAGGCUCUAAAGUUAGGGGAGCAAACAGGAUUAGAUACCCUGGUAGUCCUAACCUUAAACGGUGUACACUUGGUGUGCGAGGAAUUGUCCCUUUGCGCGCCGCAGCUAACGCGAUAAGUGUACCGCCUGGGGAGUACGGUCGCAAGAUUAAA